Molecule: long non-coding RNA, 448 nt
Organism: Oncorhynchus tshawytscha (Chinook salmon)
Lineage: Eukaryota; Metazoa; Chordata; Actinopteri; Salmoniformes; Salmonidae
Source: Ensembl
UCUGUCCGUCUGUCUGUCCGUCUCUCCUCUAGAGAACCAGGUCUGUCUGUCCGCCUCUCCUCUAGAGAACCAGGUCUGUCUGUCCGUCUCUCCUCUAGAGAACCAGGUCUGUCUGUCCGUCUGUCUGUCCGUCUCUCCUCUAGAGAACCAGGUCUGUCUGUCCAUCUCUCCUCUAGAGAACCAGGUCUGUCUGUCCGUCUCUCCUCUAGAGAACCAGGUCUGUCUGUCUGUCUGUCUGUCUCUCCUCUAGAGAACCAGGACUGAGACACUGUGCCUGUCCACACUGCCUGUCCCCACUGCCUGUCCGUCUCUCCUCUAGGGAACCAGGACUGAGGCACUGUGCCUGUCCCCACUGCCUGUCCCCACUGCCUGUCCGUCUCUCCUCUAGGGAACCAGGACUGAGGCACUGUGCCUGUCCCCACUGCCUGUCCACACUGCCUGUCCACAC